RNAcentral lists this small RNA (708 nucleotides) under Malus domestica (apple). Its description in RNAcentral is "sRNA MD13G0199800". The record is from RNAcentral. Lineage: Eukaryota; Viridiplantae; Streptophyta; Magnoliopsida; Rosales; Rosaceae.
GAGUUUGUUUGGGUUCUCUGUUUUGAGACAAGUUUUGCAUCUCUGUAAAUCGUUUCUCCCCAAUUGUCAUCGGCUUUCCGACCAAUUUUUGGUGCAGUCUGGGUGCGAUCUUUGUUCAGAUCAUCGUAAUUUUUUUUUAUUUAACUCAGGUAAGUUCAGCAACCCUUAUAUGAGAUUUGUCGAGGCUUUGUCGGCUAAGAGUGGAUUUUGCGUUUGGUUUACUCCGCUGAUAAAUCUGAGAUUUAACAGGAGUUCGAAGGCUACUGUUGGUUUGGGAUGAAAAAGAGAUUCUUUGCAAGCAUCACACAAAGGCCAUCAUUUAUUCCGUUGCCUUAUCAAUGACAACAAGGGCUGAAGACACCUUUCACUACUUCAAUCAAGAAUGUUUACCGUGUUUUGUUUAUGUAUAUUAAAUCAUGUUUAACAUGUUUAAAAACCUGUACAUAUCUUUUUUUGCCCAAAACUCAACAAUAUUUUUUGCAUCCCCAUACAACAGCAUCUCCUCAUUUUUUUGUAUGCAAAAGCUGGAACACAAAGUAUAUUAGAUGGGGUUAUUAGAAGAAAUUCAGUUAUUCUUAUGUUUUUUGUAUCUUUGUACCAGGAAUUUCUAUGUUUUGUAACUGAAUGUAAUCCUCCUUUUCCAGUUAACGCUUUUCCAAAUUCCCGCGGCAACGCGCGGGUAUUACGCUCUAGUGAAAUUCUAGACCU